Molecule: ribosomal RNA, 406 nt
Filed under: uncultured bacterium
Lineage: Bacteria
Description: partial 16S ribosomal RNA
Rfam family: Bacterial small subunit ribosomal RNA
Source: RNAcentral
AUUGAACGCUGGCGGCAGGCCUAACACAUGCAAGUCGAGCGAGUGGCGGACGGGUGAGUAAUGUCUGGGGAACUGCCCGAUGGAGGGGGAUAACUACUGGAAACGGUAGCUAAUACCGCAUACCAUCGGAUGUGCCCAUAUGGGAUUAGCUUGUAGGUGAGGUAACGGCUCACCUAGGCGACGCUCCCUAGCUGGUCUGCGAGGAUGAUCAGCCACACGUGGACUGAGACACGGCCCAGACUCCUACGGUAGGCAGCAGUGGGGAAUAUUUCACAAUGGGCGCAAGCCGGAUGCAGCCAUGCCGCGUGUAUGAAGAAGGCCUUCGGGUUGUAAAGCACGUUAAGUUGGGAGGCGUUACCAACAGAAUAAGCACCGGCUAACUUCGUGCCAGCAGCCGCGGUAAGUC